This 740-nucleotide ribosomal RNA is filed under the name uncultured bacterium. RNAcentral describes it as "bacterial SSU rRNA". It matches the Rfam family "Bacterial small subunit ribosomal RNA", at positions 8 to 722 of the family's 1533-position model. The record is from RNAcentral.
AGAGUUUGAUCAUGGCUCAGAACGAACGCUGGCGGCGUGCUUAACACAUGCAAGUCGAGCGGGAACGUCCCCUUCGGGGGGCUAGUACAGCGGCGAACGGGUGAGUAACACGUAGGUAACCUACCCUGGUGUCUGGGAUAACCUGUCGAAAGGCGGGCUAAUACCAGAUAAGACCACGAGAACUUCGGUUCUUGCGGUAAAAGAUGGCCUAUGCUUGCAAGCUAUCACUCCGGGAGGGGCCUGCGCGCCAUUAGCUAGUUGGUGAGGUAACGGCUCACAAAGGCUGAGAUGGCUAGCUGGUCUGAGAGGAUGAUCAGCCACACUGGGACUGAGACACGGCCCAGACUCCUACGGGAGGCAGCAGUGGGGAAUAUUGCGCAAUGGGCGAAAGCCUGACGCAGCGACGCCGUGUGGGUGAUGAAGGCCUUCGGGUCGUAAAGCCCUGUCAGGGGGGACGAAACCUCGUCGACCUAAUACGUCGGCGACCUGACGGUACCUCCAAAGGAAGCACCGGCUAACUCCGUGCCAGCAGCCGCGGUAAUACGGAGGGUGCGAGCGUUGUUCGGAAUUACUGGGCGUAAAGCGCGUGUAGGCGGCCUUUUAAGUCUGGUGUGAAAGCCCGGGGCUCACCCCCGGAAGUGCAUUGGAUACUGGGAGGCUAGAGUACCGGAGAGGAAGGUGGAAUUCCUGGUGUAGCGGUGAAAUGCGUAGAUAUCAGGAGGAACACCGGUGGCGAAGGC